This 456-nucleotide ribosomal RNA is filed under the name uncultured bacterium. RNAcentral's name for it is "bacterial SSU rRNA". It matches the Rfam family "Bacterial small subunit ribosomal RNA", at positions 347 to 793 of the family's 1533-position model. The record is from RNAcentral.
AGCAGCAGUGGGGAAUAUUGCACAAUGGGGGAAAACCCUGAUGCAGCCAUGCCGCGUGUGUGAAGAAGGCCUUCGGGUUGUAAAGCACUUUCAGUAGGGAGGAAGGUAGUGUAGUUAACACCUGCAUUAUUUGACGUUACCUACAGAAGAAGCACCGGCUAACUCCGUGCCAGCAGCCGCGGUAAUACGGAGGGUGCGAGCGUUAAUCGGAAUUACUGGGCGUAAAGCGCAUGCAGGCGGCCUGUUAAGUCAGAUGUGAAAGCCCGGGGCUUAACCUCGGAAUUGCAUUUGAAACUGGCAGGCUAGAGUCUUGUAGAGGGGGGUAGGAAUUUCAGGUGUAGCGGUGAAAUGCGUAGAGAUCUGAAGGAAUACCAGUGGCGAAGGCGGCCCCCUGGACAAAGACUGACGCUCAGAUGCGAAAGCGUGGGGAGCAAACAGGAUUAGAUACCCUGGUAG